UACGGGGGGGGCAAGCGUUGUUCGGAAUUACUGGGCGUAAAGGGCUCGUAGGUGGCCAACUAAGUCAGACGUGAAAUCCCUCGGCUUAACCGGGGAACUGCGUCUGAUACUGGAUGGCUUGAGUUUGGGAGAGGGACGCGGAAUUCCAGGUGUAGCGGUGAAAUGCGUAGAUAUCAGGAAGAACACCCGUGGCGAAGGCGGUUCUCUGGGACGGUACUGACGCUGAGACGCGAAAGCGUGGGGAGCGAACAGG
This 253-nucleotide ribosomal RNA is filed under the name uncultured bacterium. Its description in RNAcentral is "partial 16S ribosomal RNA". It matches the Rfam family "Bacterial small subunit ribosomal RNA", at positions 524 to 776 of the family's 1533-position model. The record is from RNAcentral.